This is a long non-coding RNA of Oncorhynchus keta (chum salmon), 730 nucleotides long. RefSeq lists it as uncharacterized. The record is from RefSeq and is a predicted model, not a curated record. Lineage: Eukaryota; Metazoa; Chordata; Actinopteri; Salmoniformes; Salmonidae. The transcript has 3 exons.
GUUACAUACAUACAGGUUACAUACAUACAGGUUACAUACAUACAGGUUACAUACAGGUUACAUACAUACAGGUUACAUACAGGUUACAUACAGGUUACAUACAUACAGGUUACAUACAGGUUACAUACAUACAGGUUACAUACAGGUUACAUACAUACAGGUUACAUACAGGUUACAUACAGGUUACAUACAGGUUACAUACAUACAGGUUACAUACAGGUUACAUACAUACAGGUUACAUACAUACAGGUUACAUACAUACAAGUUACAUAUAUACAGGUUACAUACAUACAGGUUACAUACAUACAGGUUACAUACAUACAAGUUACAUAUAUACAGGUUACAUACAUACAGGUUACAUACAUACAGGUUACAUACAUACAGGUUACAUAUAUACAGGUUACAUACAUACAAGUUACAUAUAUACAGGUUACAUACAUACAGGUUACAUACAUACAGGUUACAUACAUACAAGUUACAUAUAUACAGGUUACAUACAUACAGGUUACAUACAUACAGGUUACAUACAUACAGGUUACAUAUAUACAGGUUACAUACAUACAAGUUACAUAUAUACAGGUUACAUACAUACAGGUUACAUACAUACAGGUUACAUACAUACAAGUUACAUAUAUACAGGUUACAUACAUACAGGUUACAUACAUACAGGUUACAUACAUACAAGUUACAUAUAUACAGGUUACAUACAUACAGGUUACAUACAUACAAG